CCUAUCCUCGUUGCCAGGUUAUGGAAAUCCAGAGCACAGCUUGAGAAAGGAAAGCCAAGGACAGAACAGAGCCCUGGGGAGGAGCUCGUGGUGGCCAAGCCGAAGGAGGCAGGGAAUUCCGGUGGCCCAGAGCCCUGGCGGAGGCUGCCACUGCGUUGAGCCCGUCACUUUGUUGAGUUUCGCGGUGUCGCUGUGCUUGGAAAGACAAUUUCCUUUUCAGCAGCACUGGUAUGGACUUUGGAUGAUCUUGCCUGCUUCUUCGUUUCUCUCUUUCUCAUGAAAGCCUUUCUCUUCUCGGUCAUACAAAAAGGCAUACGGAAAGAAGCCCAGCGAGAAGAGUUUUCCUGCUGAUGAAGACAGAAAAGGCACUGCAGCAGAUCCUGCUGGGACAGGUCCCAGGGAGAGAGCACGAGCGUUGAAACCUGCACCAGCAGCCCAGGCGAGGCGGCUCCUUGUGCUAGGGCGCCCUCUAGAGCCGGAGAGCGGAAGCGGCGCGGGCGGCGGGCGGCAGGCGGCGCCUCUGCACCCAAGAAGCGCUUACCCCCAAAACAUAUGCUGGGCCCCAGGUGCCUGCCCUGGGUAACCAGCACGAAUGAACAGAGACACCCCAGGCUGUGUAAAUCCUUGGUGAUCCUCUAGAUUCAUCCGUUGAGUUUUAAAACCGAGAAACUUGAUAUCCAGAGAAGAAAGACCCUUUUGAGGCCAGGAUUCCAUGGGAGGAAGACCCUCUCCCCAGCCCGUUAAUACCCACCCUCCCCAGCCAACAGGACCCUUGGGGAAGAAAACCCUCUCCCCCACCCCUCAUACCUCCCCCCAGAUCCCCCAUCCCCUCAGGGGAAGGAAGACCCUCUCCCCCACCCCCUCGCGAGCCCCCUCCCACCCCAGACGACAGGAUCCUUGGGGAGGAAGACCCUCUCCUCCCGCAAAUCCCUCCUCAGCCAACAGGACCCUGGAGGAGGAAGAGCCCCUCCUCCACAUCCCACAACACCCCCCUCAGCCAACAGGACGCUGGGGAAGGAAGACCCUCUUUCCCACCCUUCACGACCACCCCCCACUCCCCAGCCCCAGCCAACAGGACAGAUGAGGUGCAGGCAGGCUCAUGGGUUCGGUGGAGGGAGUUUGGGAUCACCCCAAAGCUUUUUCCAUUUUCGGGGUCAGCAGCCUGGCUCGUGGCCAGAACCAGCCAGUUCUGUGAGAACACUGGAGGCAUGAGCAGCCCCUGCUGAGCAAGUGGGCAGCAGCCUGGCCAGGGAGGCGUGGGUGUCACAAGUGAAGGGCCCAGUGGGGCCGGGGGCUGUGACCACAUGUGGAGGGCCAGGGCCUGGGUGUGGGGCCUGGGCCGGGGGCUUCCUUUCUUGGGGCUGAGGUUUGCUCAUCUGUGAGUCAGGCUGAGGCACCCAUGCCUUGGGGUGGCCUUGAGGUUAGGGGGUCUGUUUGUGUGAAACGCUCAGGGCUGGGCCUGCCCUCAGCACACUCAACAGGUGACAGAGACCAUGACCAUGAUGUCGGACCCGUCAGCCGCCCUUACAGGUGAGCACAUCGCACACCCAGGGGGAGCUGGUGAUGACAUCACCUGGUCCUCACCUGAAGCAGCUGAACCUCUGAGACCCUGGGCAGCACUGUUCACGCUUCCCUUAUUUUCCGUACCUCACUGCUGCCUGAAGCCCCAAAUAUACAGCUUGGGUAAACCAUUUCCCCUGAAUUGUGUUCACGGAUUAAAAGAUGCUAAUGGGAGAUCCAGAAAUUUCUAAGAAAUAUAAAAAACCAAUAUGUCAAUAUUGGAAACCAUAUUGGCCCCUGACACAGCUCAACGCCACACACUUGUUCCUCUGCCCCCCCAAUAUACAAACAUGUACAUACACACACAAGCAGACACGUAAGUACACACAAACAUUUGGGAGCAUGCACAAAGACAUGCAGAUACACACACAUAUACAGACACACAUGAGCACACACAAAAACACAGGCACACAUGAGCACACACAGAGACACACAUUACACAUGUGCACACACAGACACACAAGAGCAUGCACAAA
This is a long non-coding RNA of Gorilla gorilla gorilla (western lowland gorilla), 2036 nucleotides long. RefSeq lists it as uncharacterized. The transcript has 3 exons. The record is from RefSeq and is a predicted model, not a curated record. Lineage: Eukaryota; Metazoa; Chordata; Mammalia; Primates; Hominidae.